UCGGGAGUGGUCCAACGGUGAGGGCACCCGGCUUUGAUCCGGGCGAUCGAGGUUCGAUUCCUCGCUCCCGAG
Molecule: transfer RNA, 72 nt
Filed under: Myxococcales bacterium
Lineage: Bacteria; Pseudomonadati; Myxococcota; Myxococcia; Myxococcales
Description: tRNA-Gln
Rfam family: tRNA
About the family: Transfer RNA (tRNA) molecules are approximately 80 nucleotides in length. Their secondary structure includes four short double-helical elements and three loops (D, anti-codon, and T loops).
Source: RNAcentral